Potamilus streckersoni is the source of this 76-nucleotide non-coding RNA. The record is from the annotation of a GenBank genome assembly. Lineage: Eukaryota; Metazoa; Mollusca; Bivalvia; Unionida; Unionidae.
ACCUCUCCGGUGGCCUAGUGUUUAGAGCGUCCGCCUCGGAUGCAGGAGGUCGCGGGCUCGAACCCCGGCCGAGUCA